AUUGAACGCUGGCGGCAUGCCUUACACAUGCAAGUCGAACGGCAGCAUGAUCUAGCUUGCUAGAUUGAUGGCGAGUGGCGAACGGGUGAGUAAUACAUCGGAACGUGCCCUGUAGUGGGGGAUAACUAGUCGAAAGAUUAGCUAAUACCGCAUACGACCUGAGGGUGAAAGUGGGGGACCGCAAGGCCUCACGCUAUAGGAGCGGCCGAUGUCUGAUUAGCUAGUUGGUGAGGUAAAGGCUCACCAAGGCGACGAUCAGUAGCUGGUCUGAGAGGACGAUCAGCCACACUGGGACUGAGACACGGCCCAGACUCCUACGGGAGGCAGCAGUGGGGAAUUUUGGACAAUGGGCGAAAGCCUGAUCCAGCAAUGCCGCGUGUGUGAAGAAGGCCUUCGGGUUGUAAAGCACUUUUGUCCGGAAAGAAAUGGCUCUGGUUAAUACCUGGGGUCGAUGACGGUACCGGAAGAAUAAGGACCGGCUAACUACGUG
RNAcentral lists this ribosomal RNA (490 nucleotides) under uncultured bacterium. RNAcentral describes it as "partial 16S ribosomal RNA". It matches the Rfam family "Bacterial small subunit ribosomal RNA", at positions 30 to 507 of the family's 1533-position model. The record is from RNAcentral.